UACGUAGGGUGCAAGCGUUGUCCGGAAUUAUUGGGCGUAAAGAGCUUGUAGGCGGUUUGUCGCGUCUGCUGUGAAAUUUCGGGGCUCAACCCCGAACUUGCAGUGGGUACGGGCAGACUAGAGUGUGGUAGGGGAGACUGGAAUUCCUGGUGUAGCGGUGAAAUGCGUAGAUAUCAGGAGGAACACCGGUGGCGAAGGCGGCUACCUGGACAGAAACUGACGCUGAGGCACGAAAGCUAGGGGAGCAAACAGG
RNAcentral lists this ribosomal RNA (253 nucleotides) under uncultured bacterium. RNAcentral describes it as "partial 16S ribosomal RNA". It matches the Rfam family "Bacterial small subunit ribosomal RNA", at positions 524 to 776 of the family's 1533-position model. The record is from RNAcentral.